This is a long non-coding RNA of Nymphaea colorata (pocket water lily), 625 nucleotides long. RefSeq lists it as uncharacterized. The transcript has 3 exons. The record is from RefSeq and is a predicted model, not a curated record. NCBI's taxonomy places the organism in Eukaryota, Viridiplantae, Streptophyta, Magnoliopsida, Nymphaeales, Nymphaeaceae.
CUCAGCUUCUGUGCCAUAUUUUGGCGCAAAAAAGAUGGGGUUCAUGCCAGGAUUGACCUACACUAAUGAGCUUACUUCAAAAGAUGAGGAUCUUCACUGUGACUUUGCAUGUGUUCUUUACAAGUAGCUAAGUUAUUGCACAGUCUUCUGAAUGAACAAAGAAUUUAACAAAUUUUGCAUGAUGCUGUGGAAAUCGAAAUUGAAUUUGUUUGUGAAGCACUUCCCUGUGACCUGAUUUGGCAUGAAUUCAGUUCUUAUGAGUCAAUACAUAAAAUUGUUACCGGUCGCCUGCUGAGGCAAAUCAAACUUCGUUGAACGAAAAUUUGGAGAUUACCACAAUGCUUGUGUGAUGCAGAGUGAAAAACAGGAAGCAAGCAAUUUGGUUUUUCGCAUGGACGAAGAUUUUUGAGAUGCAGAAAACGUCAAUCUGCUAGUCAUUUGAAGGCCCUAGGCAGCUGCCAAGGAACAACAUUCUAAAGUGAACGCCAUUCAGUUGUCUUAGUAUGGUGGUCAUGGUUUGCCUCCCUUCCAUGGACACUUGUCUUGUUUUUUAAUAUCUUCUUUGACACGUUGAGGAAUUUAGCGGUUGUAGUGCAAUGCCAAUCCGUAGCGCGGAAGAAUUUUU